Small RNA from Listeria monocytogenes EGD-e, 111 nucleotides. It matches the Rfam family "Listeria LhrC". Rfam says of the family: This RNA was identifed by screening for RNA molecules which co-immunoprecipitated with the RNA chaperone Hfq. However, neither the stability nor the activity of LhrC is depending on the presence of Hfq. The record is from Rfam. NCBI's taxonomy places the organism in Bacteria, Bacillati, Bacillota, Bacilli, Caryophanales, Listeriaceae.
AUAAGCUAACAACAAGCAAAACAUUUUCAUUUCUUUCCCUUUUUAGAAUGGAAAUCCCAAACUCCCUUUUAGCUAGUGCGGUUUACUCCCUUUUUCCGCACUAGUUUUUUU